GACGAACGCUGGCGGCGUGCUUAACACAUGCAAGUCGAACGGGCCCGCCCCUGUUUUUGGGGGUGGGUUGAGUGGCGAACGGGUGAGUAUCACGUGAGUAACCUGCCCCCUGCUCCUGGAUAACUGCUUGAAAGGGCGGCUAAUACGGGGUGUGCCGGCUGGUCCGCAUGGGCCUGGUCGGGAUAGUUUCAUCUUCGGGUGUUUCGGUGGGGGAUGGGCUCGCGGCCUAUCAGCUUGUUGGUGGGGUGAUGGCCCACCAAGGCGGUGACGGGUAGCCGGCCUGAGAGGGUGGGCGGCCACACUGGGACUGAGACACGGCCCAGACUCCUGCGGGAGGCAGCAGUGGGGGGUAUUGCGCAAUGGGCGGAAGCCUGAUGCAGCGACGUCGCGUGAGGGAUGGAGGCCUUCGGGUUGUGAACCUCUUUCUCCGGUGGUGAAGGCCCUGUCCGUUGCGGCGGGGUUGACGGUAGCCGGGGAUGAAGCGCCGGCUAACUACGUG
RNAcentral lists this ribosomal RNA (499 nucleotides) under uncultured bacterium. RNAcentral's name for it is "partial 16S ribosomal RNA". It matches the Rfam family "Bacterial small subunit ribosomal RNA", at positions 28 to 507 of the family's 1533-position model. The record is from RNAcentral.